RNAcentral lists this ribosomal RNA (348 nucleotides) under Epiperipatus isthmicola. RNAcentral's name for it is "partial small subunit ribosomal RNA". Lineage: Eukaryota; Metazoa; Onychophora; Udeonychophora; Euonychophora; Peripatidae. The record is from RNAcentral.
CCCUGUUAUUCUAAAACAAAAUAAUAAUUCAAAGGGAAUUCACCCAAACAAAAUAAAUUUGACGGUAUUAACUUUUACAAAGGAAUUUGUUUCUAAAUCGACAACCCACGAUUAACCUUACUUAAUAAUUAUCUGUAUACCACCGUAUCAAAAAUUAUUUAAAAUAAACUUUUCAAUAGAAUCAAUUCUACAAAAUCAGGUCAAGGUGCAAUUUCAUUAAGAUGAAAUGAAUUACAUUAAUUUAUAUUAAUUCAUAAUAGUUGAAAUCCUAUUUAAAAUAGAAUUUGUUAGUAAAAUUUUAUCAUUAUGCUUAUUUGAAAAUUAACAUUAAUAUGUACAUAUCGCCCG